CUCUGGAGUAUGUCCACGACACCUGUGGUGAGUGGAUGUGGUUGACUUCAGCAGCUCUGAAAGCUCCAAACUAAAGCUUGAGAGCUGAGCUUGGCACCGGGGAAGACCUGUCUGCAGCUGAGCAGAGGAGCAUCAGCCAAACUCUACCUUGGGGAAUGGCCUCCUUGUCCUUUUGGAAGCAAUCAAAGAAAACAAAAAUCACACUGAGACUUUUUUUAAAUUAUUGCCUAUUUUGCACAUUUGUUUCAAACUGUUCACCUGAGAGGGGGGUUGCUGCCCCAGUUUGUCUGCUGGGCUGGAGGAGUUUCUGCCUACUGGAUUUACAGCACUGGAAGUGAAAGGAAGUGAAGAAAUGGGUUGAACUGGAGCAACAGGAAAUUCAGCCACAAGACAGUGGACUGAAACUCUGAAGUACACAACAACUCUGAAUGCUGAUGCCAUGCAUCUUUUUGCAAACAAGCUUUUAAACAUAUACAUGCCUUAAAAAAAAAAGUGUUCUGUAUUUAAUGAGACUUGGUUAUAAAUUAUUAACAUAUUAUGUAUAUUAUAUAAAAAUUGUCUCUCAAUCUACAUGUGGAUGUCUAUGUAUAUAUAAUUAUGCUUUUUUAGAUAAACGUGAAAGUGUAAUGGAGGAAUAAAAAAAAAACAGAUUUGAAGACCUUUGGGAGG
This 669-nucleotide long non-coding RNA is filed under the name Anser brachyrhynchus (Pink-footed goose). Its description in RNAcentral is "lncRNA (ENSABRG00000012515.1)". Lineage: Eukaryota; Metazoa; Chordata; Aves; Anseriformes; Anatidae. The record is from RNAcentral.